Molecule: long non-coding RNA, 731 nt
Organism: Scophthalmus maximus (turbot)
Lineage: Eukaryota; Metazoa; Chordata; Actinopteri; Pleuronectiformes; Scophthalmidae
Exons: 5
Source: RefSeq, a predicted model, not a curated record
ACAUGGUGCAGUGGUGGUAGACGUGGAGGAAGCUGACCUGGGUGACCUUCUUCCUCAGGAUGAAAAAGGCUGUAUCCAAGAAUUCCACUCCUUUGGAGAUGUAGUACCACCAAAGAGCCGAGGCUAUCUAAAGACAUAAAAACGGAGGAGAAGAGUGAAUUACCGCUGCGCACUCUGGUGGACCUUGGACACCGACACCACUGUUGCAGUGCGCAGCAGAGAUCACUUAUUCAAGACUGGAUAGGACGACAAUGAACUGAUCUCGUGGCACUGACCUCUUUGGCGAUGUAGAAGUUGAGCACCACCAUGCUGAAGUUGUAGACUAUGAGAGUCCUCCUCAGCGUGUAGGGCUGGCGGUCCUGCAUGUAUCUAGGCCCCGCCCACAGGAAGAGCAGGUACAGGCAGCUGAUGGCCAGUGUGGGGCAGGGAGAUGACAUCAUCGGCCAAUUCUCCACCCUCUUGUCUGGAGGAAGAAAAGAAAAAAACAGAUAUUAAACUGUAACCAGCCUGCUUCACGACGGCGGCCCACUGCUACAGGACAUGUGCGACGGUGAAGAUCUUACCUGCUAUACUGUCAUUUUAAGACCGCGAUCACGCCAUGACCCACCUCCACCCCUGAUCCCCCUCAACUCCGGAUGCCUGGUCAUGCCCCAUCAAACCGUCCAACCGGAGGCCCUCCAUGAGACGUCCCAACUUCCUGCCCCAUUCCUCAUCACCAGCACCAGUGCCGU